AUUCUGCGAUAAUGUUUGGACUUU
This 24-nucleotide non-coding RNA is filed under the name Cricetulus griseus (Chinese hamster). Lineage: Eukaryota; Metazoa; Chordata; Mammalia; Rodentia; Cricetidae. The record is from RNAcentral.